RNAcentral lists this ribosomal RNA (301 nucleotides) under uncultured bacterium. RNAcentral describes it as "partial 16S ribosomal RNA". It matches the Rfam family "Bacterial small subunit ribosomal RNA", at positions 509 to 807 of the family's 1533-position model. The record is from RNAcentral.
CAGCCGCCGCGGGAAUACGAAGGGGGCUAGCGUUGUUCGGAAUUACUGGGCGUAAAGCGCACGUAGGCGGAUACUUAAGUCAGGGGUGAAAUCCCGGGGCUCAACCCCGGAACUGCCUUUGAUACUGGGUAUCUCGAGUCCGGAAGAGGUGAGUGGAAUUCCGAGUGUAGAGGUGAAAUUCGUAGAUAUUCGGAGGAACACCAGUGGCGAAGGCGGCUCACUGGUCCGGUACUGACGCUGAGGUGCGAAAGCGUGGGGAGCAAACAGGAUUAGAUACCCCAGUAGUCCCUGUCUCUUAUAC